This 1500-nucleotide ribosomal RNA is filed under the name Triticum aestivum (bread wheat). Its description in RNAcentral is "partial small subunit ribosomal RNA". Lineage: Eukaryota; Viridiplantae; Streptophyta; Magnoliopsida; Poales; Poaceae. The record is from RNAcentral.
AUGGGGCAGCUGGAUCUCAUGCAGCAGGAACGCCAAAUCCAGAUCCGUGAUGGGUCGACUUCUUCAUUGGCCAUAAGAAACGGGCCACCUUGCCAAGAAGAUGAUGAUAAUUAUCAUGAUGGCAAAAUAAGGGAGUAUUCAGGGACCGUACUUCCAGAGGACAUUUGGUGUCAUAUACAUUCACUAAUGACGCCGCGAGAUGCUGCCCGUGCUGCCUGCGUGUCUCGUGCCUUUCGACGUUCGUGGAGAUGCUACUACCCCAACCUCAUAUUUAAUAGUCAAACAAUAGGCCUAUCACGGGAUGACAUGUAUUUCACCCACAAAGUUGAUCAGAUUUUGGAACAGCACUCAGGCAUUGGCGUGAAGACAUUCGAGAUUGAUUGCUCCUGUUGCGACAAGCUCAAGGCUUAUGAAGCCUAUGAAUAUCUCCAUAGGUGGCUUCAGAAAGUGGUUACACUGGGCAUUGAAAAACUCACCCUUGUGAUGCGUGAGAAGGAGGCAGUCUACUUCCCAUGCCCAGUUCUAUCCAAUGGGAAUGGAAGCUCGAUCUGGUAUCUUCACCUUGUUAACUGUGUCUUCCAUCCUACAGUUAGCCUUGGGUGCUUGGGAAACCUGACAGUGUUGCAUCUUGAGUCUGUGCGAAUUACGGGGUGCGAGUUAGGGUGCCUUCUUCCCAGCUGUGUUGUGUUGGAGCAGUUGAAACUCAGGAGAUGCUACCAGAUAACUUUCCUAAAGAUACCUUCCCGGCUGCAGCGACUCAGCUACCUGCAGGUGUUAGAAUGCCACAGACUGCAGACGAUAGAGAACAAAGCUCCAAAUAUUAAUAGUUUUCACUUUAUAGGUGACCGAGUUGAGUUCUUACUUGGGGAGUCAUUGCGAUUGAAGAAACUAGAUGUGCUAUGUUACCUCUUCCUCAGAUAUGCACUUGAUGAGCUUCCGUCCAUUGUGCCGAAUCUUGAAACUCUUAGCAUACAUUCAUGGUGUGAGGUGGUCAAUACAACACUGACGCUCUCGCCUUCCAAGUUCCUCUAUCUGAAAUACUUGAGCAUUUAUAUUAAUGGGUCUUGCGAUUGUCUUUCUCUGGUUUAUUUUCUUGGUGCUGCUCCGUCCUUGGAGACAUUCAAACUGCGCGUACCGAUACAGCUACUACAAUCCAUAGAUGAAUUGCUUUCUGAAGACCCCUCACAUCUAAGGCAGAUUCCAGGAUACCGCCAUGACAAGCUCCGGAGAGUGAGCAUCUGUAGGUUCCCCAGUUCAAAGAGCGUGGUUGAGUUGACGUCCCAUAUUCUGGAAAAUUCAGCAUCACUCGAGUGCCUUACAUUGAGCACCACCAAUGAUAGUUUCAGGUGUUCUGAUGAUCGAUCUGCUAAAUGCUCCUGCUCUAUCGGACCCAUGGAAGCCCAUAAAGCAGCCUUGGUAAUCGAAAGAUACAUCAGGGGGAAAGUUCCCUCUACAGUUCAGCUAGAUGUGGUGGAGCCUUGCAUGCAGCCUUUGCCAUGA